AUUGAACGCUGGCGGCAGGCCUAACACAUGCAAGUCGAGCGGAUGAAGGGAGCUUGCUCCUGGAUUCAGCGGCGGACGGGUGAGUAAUGCCUAGGAAUCUGCCUGGUAGUGGGGGAUAACGUCCGGACACGGGCGCUAAUACCGCAUACGUCCUGAGGGAGAAAGUGGGGGAUCUUCGGACCUCACGCUAUCAGAUGAGCCUAGGUCGGAUUAGCUAGUUGGUGGGGUAAAGGCCUACCAAGGCGACGAUCCGUAACUGGUCUGAGAGGAUGAUCAGUCACACUGGAACUGAGACACGGUCCAGACUCCUACGGGAGGCAGCAGUGGGGAAUAUUGGACAAUGGGCGAAAGCCUGAUCCAGCCAUGCCGCGUGAGUGAAGAAGGUCUUCGGAUUGUAAAGCACUUUAAGUUGGGAGGAAGGGCAGUAAGUUAAUACCUUGCUGUUUUGACGUUACCAACAGAAUAAGCACCGGCUAACUUCGUG
RNAcentral lists this ribosomal RNA (484 nucleotides) under uncultured bacterium. RNAcentral describes it as "partial 16S ribosomal RNA". It matches the Rfam family "Bacterial small subunit ribosomal RNA", at positions 30 to 507 of the family's 1533-position model. The record is from RNAcentral.